This 3464-nucleotide unclassified non-coding RNA is filed under the name Leishmania donovani. RNAcentral describes it as "gene:LdHU3.36.2390(CDS-product:hypothetical_prote in_conserved)". The record is from RNAcentral. Lineage: Eukaryota; Euglenozoa; Kinetoplastea; Trypanosomatida; Trypanosomatidae.
AGUUUUCUCUCCUGACGCGCUCGGCCUCGCACGAAUCACUGCAUCAUCACCCUGCCCUUAGUAUCACGGUGCUUCCUAUCGCCUUCCAACUGCUCGUUCUUACCCUCUGAUUCUUGGCAUCUAGAGCUCUUUCGCCCAUUGGGCGUGUGCGCUUCCGAGCAUCGACGCUCUCACUUACUCGCUUCCCUCUUUUCGCGGUCUUGUCCUCUCACGGCGACAUCGUUGUUUCGCGUAAGGCAGGCCCCCUCUUUCGUACCUCUCUCUGCGUGUGCGUGCCACGCCUCUAUCGCUCAUGUAUCCAUGGCUUUCACCUGACUUUGUUGUCUUUCUAUUCUCUGCAGUGCUGUGGUACUUACCCCCGCUUCUCCUUUAGAGCUGCACACCGGUGCGCGAGCGAGCAGGAUGCCUCCACGCUCAUCGCACGCCGUGGUGACGCUGGCUGCAGCGCUGCUGCUGGCGAUGUUUGCCUGCAGCCACUCGGGCCACGCGCUAUGCCCCUCUAACGGGAACACCCACACAGUCUACGUCACGUCUAACAUGGGCGAUAACAUUUGGUCCUUUGACACUCUCGGCAACUACCUCGGCCCGGUGCUCAACAAAGCCUCUUUCCCACCCGGCGUGCGCGUCGACAAGCUCCGCUCCAUGCGCUUUGGCCCGCAGGGCCACCUCUACGUGUCCAGCGCUCGCGGCUCCUACAGCCGCGUCUUCGCCGUCAGCGGCAACGGCCUGCUGAACGGCACGAUGGAGGAAAACUGUACCCGCGACUACCUCUUCACCGUGAUUGAGCAGGACAAGGAGAACCCGUUUCUGGAUCACCCGUACGACAUCACCUUCCACCCAGCGACCGAGGACAUGUACGUGUCGAACCAAAACUCGGUGACCGUCACGCGGUACACGCGCUACCGGACCGCGGACGUGACGCCGAAGGCCGGCGCCGGCGGAUCUCAGCACGCCUUCUAUCCGGCCUGGAAGCCGGCCAAGAACGUCAAGGCCGCCGUUGAGGCCGACGAGGAGACGGUGUCGGCGGAGGAGACGGUGGUGGCGCCGAAGAACAUCCCAGACAGCUCCGGUCUCUUUGCCUCGUCGUGGAGCUCGUCCUACUCGAUGAGCUCCGUGCGUGGCCUCGCCAUCUCGCCGCUGCUGCCGCGCGCGCUGGUCGAGGGCGGCGCCCCCUCCGGCGUCUUCGCUGUGACAAACGAGUCGACGAUGUACUACCUGCUCGUGUGUGACGUGUCGAGCAACACCGUGCACGUUUUCGACCCCGAGAGCGGCGAGCGCCUCUUUGGCUUAAACGUGCCGUCCCCGAUUCAAGUGAUGUUUCCGAACCGCUACUACAUCAGUGACUCGUCGUCGCUAUCCGUCUCCGCUGCCGGCGUCCACACGCAGCGCUUCGACGUGCCGUACAUUUACGUCACGAGCAAGGAGGACGGCAUGGCGUACAUGGUGCGCUUCUCCUCCCGCCAGGGAAACACGAACAACAACGGCAUGCAGGGCGGCGCCUUUGGCGAGGACUUCAUCCGGGCACAUCGCCUCUAUACCAUCAACCACCCCACCCCACUGCACGCGGCGAGCGGCAUCUACGAGAAUUCCGCCCGUGAUGUGCUGCUCAUCGCCGAUCGCAACGGCCGCCGCAUCUACUCCUACGCGUCUCCAUUUCUGACCGACUACACAAGCGGCUACGGACCUUCUCCGUUCCUUGGCUUCUUUGUGAAGCAUCUGCCGGAUCAGCCGGAGUUCAUCAUGUCGACGCUGCUUGAGCACCAGGAAAACAUCCCGUUUUGCUAUGAGCUAAACAAGGACGGAAAGUUCCGCUACGUUGCGCUGUGCACAGCGGCGUCGAUCUGGUCCGUCGCGCUCGCGCUCGUUCUCAUCCUGGUGCCGUCUUUCAUUGCGUACCGCCAAAUCCAGAACUGCAUGUACGGGCAAAAGCAACAGCGACGCCAGCGCUAUCUGGAUGAAGAUGCGAGCGCCUUGUAUGGGAGCGGCAGUAGCUCGCCGCUACUUGGACGCCGGGCGCCCAACUACGGCUCUGCCUAGUGACUCCGGCCCUCGUGGCGAAAAACGGCAGAGAGAGGAGGAAAAGGGAAAGGGAAAGACGAGUCGUUGCGCAGUUCUCGCUCGCUGGCCGGCGACUCUUCGCCUCUCUCUCGCUCUCGCUCUCUAUCCCUCGCCAGCACAACCCCACCAAAAGAAGCGUUUCACUCUUUUCGAAUAUGGGGGAGAGAGAAGAAGAGAUGGCAGCGGCGCCGCGAGGAGGAACAUGUGGCAGCGAUGCCAUAAGGGAUUCGGGAAGGACUCGCGCGCGCCCCCCUGCAGGGGCUUGUGCAUCCCAUAUAUUGCCUGCCUUCUCCCUGUCUCUCUGCCAGUCCCGCGCUGGUCAUCGCGCAUCACUUUCUCUACUCGAGCAGCGCGUCUUUCUCUCCCUCCCCCUCUUCCUCCUUCUGCAUAUAAAAACACAGCGAGAGAGCAAAACAACAGAAAAGGGAGCGUGGGGGGGCCGAAACCAAGCGCGCACAUAUAAACGGCAUAACGUUUUGUGUGCGAAGGUCAGACGACGCUAAAGCAACGCGAGUACCAACGUCGUGUUGAAGCUCGAUGAGGGACGACUGCUGCUCGCGGCGCCAGUGGUGGCCUUCUUUCUCUAAUUGUGUGCGUUCAGUGUUAUCGGUGUCUGUUUGCCCGUGCGCGUGUGCGUGUUUCUGUCGGUGUUGAGCUGAACAGCCUUGUGGCCUUUGAUCGUUGCGCCCAUGGCUUCCACUAAUUCGUUGCCCUCGUGUGUAUGUGUGUGCGCCUUUACAACUUUCGUUACUCGCACACUUCUCCCCCUCUUUUCCUUCCGAUUCACCUGUUUUCGCACGUCUCCGUUGCAGAGGCGAGCGGGAAGGACGACAAGCGAACAACACAGCAAAAAGAAUCGAGUACUUGCACAUACAGGUGUGUGUGUGUGUGUGUGUGUGUGUGUGGCUGGUGGUGGUGGUUGGGGGGCGGCAAAGCAGGCCAGCGAAGGGCGGAACAGCACGCUUUUCUGCCCCUUUCCCUCUUGUGCCCUUACUGCACUCCACAUCGGCAUCUGUUCACGUGCGAUGCUGCGGGAACGCGCGGCAGGCAUGGGCAUCACCUCCCCUCCUCUCGUGUCUCUCUCUCCAGCUGGUGGCGACCGUCACUGCCGUUCCGUUUUGUCUUCUUCCUAUCUCCAGCCUCAGGACAGUCACUCCCGUUGCACGGACCAUGAACCCAUGGACGCUUCGCACUCGCUCUCCCUCCCUUCCUCGAUCUGCUUUGCUACUGCCUAUCGUUGUCGACCCGAUUUCUCUCAUUCUUUUUUUUUUCUCGGUUUCUGCCUCUUGGUGCGGUCGCACUCGUCGCGCUCUCGUCUUGUGCAACUGCGCGACAUCCCUCACUACUCUGCUUCCACGAAACCAUGCGUACGCGCGCAUCACUACCUUCGAGCAAGUGUGAGGAAG